RNAcentral lists this ribosomal RNA (468 nucleotides) under uncultured bacterium. RNAcentral's name for it is "bacterial SSU rRNA". It matches the Rfam family "Bacterial small subunit ribosomal RNA", at positions 917 to 1382 of the family's 1533-position model. The record is from RNAcentral.
GGACUCGCACAAGCGGUGGAGCAUGUGGUUUAAUUCGACGCAACGCGAAAAACCUUACCAGGCCUUGACAUCCCUUUGACCGGUGUAGAAAUACGCCUUUUCCCUUCGGGGGACAGAGGAGACAGGUGGUGCAUGGUUGUCGUCAGCUCGUGUCGUGAGAUGUUGGGUUAAGUCCCGCAACGAGCGCAACCCUUAUCAUUAGUUGCUAACAUUAAGUUGAGAACUCUAAUGAGACUGCCAGCGACAAGUUGGAGGAAGGUGGGGAUGACGUCAAAUCAUCAUGCCCCUUAUGGCCUGGGCUACACACGUGCUACAAUGGCCGGUACAAAGAGUGGCGAAACCGCGAGGUGGAGCAAAUCUCAAAAAACCGGUCUCAGUUCAGAUUGUAGUCUGCAACUCGACUACAUGAAGUCGGAAUCGCUAGUAAUCGUAAAUCAGCAUGUUACGGUGAAUACGUUCUCGAGUCUU